CGAACGGGUGAGUAAUACAUCGGAACGUGUCCGCUCGUGGGGGACGAACCAGCCGAAAGGUUGGCUAAUACCGCAUGAGUUCUACGGAAGAAAGAGGGGGACCCGCAAGGGCCUCUCGCGAGCGGAGCGGCCGAUGACUGAUUAGCCGGUUGGUGAGGUAACGGCUCACCAAAGCAACGAUCAGUAGCUGGUCUGAGAGGACGACCAGCCACACUGGGACUGAGACACGGCCCAGACUCCUACGGGAGGCAGCAG
Molecule: ribosomal RNA, 255 nt
Filed under: uncultured bacterium
Lineage: Bacteria
Description: partial 16S ribosomal RNA
Rfam family: Bacterial small subunit ribosomal RNA
Source: RNAcentral